ACUCAAAUGAAUUGACGGGGACCCGCACAAGCAGUGGAGUAUGUGGUUUAAUUCGACGCAACGCGAAGAACCUUACCAAGGCUUGACAUAAUACUGAAUAUGCUGGAAACAGUAUAGUCCUUCGGGACAGUAUUACAGGUGGUGCAUGGUUGUCGUCAGCUCGUGUCGUGAGAUGUUGGGUUAAGUCCCGCAACGAGCGCAACCCUUGUCAUUAGUUGCCAUCAGGUAAAGCUGGGCACUCUAAUGAGACUAUCGGUGAUAAACCGGGGGAAGGUGGGGACGACGUCAAAUCAUCAUGCCCCUUAUGUCUUGGGCUACACACGUACUACAAUGGCUAUUACAGAGGGUAGCAAAGGAGCAAUCUGGAGCCAAUCCCCAAAGAUAGUCUCAGUUCGGAUUGUGGGCUGCAACUCGCCCACAUGAAGUCGGAAUUGCUAGUAAUUGCAGGUCAGCAUACUGCAGUGAAUACGUUCCCGGGUCUUGUACACACCGCCCGU
Molecule: ribosomal RNA, 497 nt
Filed under: uncultured bacterium
Lineage: Bacteria
Description: bacterial SSU rRNA
Rfam family: Bacterial small subunit ribosomal RNA
Source: RNAcentral